GUGCUUAACACAUGCAAGUCGAGUGCGCGUCCGUAGCAAUACGGAUGGCGCACGGCGCACGGGUGCGUAACACGUGGGCAAUCUGCCCUUCGAUGGGGAAUAACUCCGGGAAACCGAAGCUAAUUCCGCAUAACAUUCCCGGGACUCCGGUUCGGGGAAUCAAAGCAGUGAUGCGUCGGAGGAGGAGCCCGCGCCCGAUUAGCUAGUUGGCAGGGUAACGGCCUACCAAGGCUAUGAUCGGUAGCUGGUCUGAGAGGAUGGCCAGCCACACUGGAACUGAGACACGGUCCAG
This 292-nucleotide ribosomal RNA is filed under the name uncultured bacterium. Its description in RNAcentral is "partial 16S ribosomal RNA". It matches the Rfam family "Bacterial small subunit ribosomal RNA", at positions 44 to 334 of the family's 1533-position model. The record is from RNAcentral.